AGAACGAACGCUGGCGGCAGGCCUCAAACAUGCAAGUCUAGGGGGUGUAGCAAUACAUCACCGGCGGACGGGUGCGUAACACGUGGGAAUAUACCUUUUGGUUCGGAACAACGCAGGGAAACUUGCGCUAAUACCGAAUGUGCCCUUACGGGGAAAGAUUUAUCGCCAAAGGAUUAGCCCGCGUAGGAUUAGCUAGUUGGUGAGGUAAUGGCUCACCAAGGCUCCGAUCCUUAGUUGUUCUGAGAGGAAGAUCAGCCACACUGGGACUGAGACACGGCCCAGACUCCUACGGGAGGCAGCAGUUGGGAAUCUUGGACAAUGGGGGAAACCCUGAUCCAGCCAUGCCGCGUGAGUGAUGAAGGCCUUCGGGUUGUAAAACUCUUUCGACGGGGACGAUAAUGACGGUACCCGUAGAAGAAGCUCCGGCUAACUUCGCGCCAGCAGCCGC
RNAcentral lists this ribosomal RNA (448 nucleotides) under uncultured bacterium. RNAcentral describes it as "SSU rRNA". It matches the Rfam family "Bacterial small subunit ribosomal RNA", at positions 26 to 518 of the family's 1533-position model. The record is from RNAcentral.